AAAGACCUACGGGACGCAGCAGUGAGGAAUAUUGGUCAAUGGUCGGGAGACUGAACCAGCCAAGCCGCGUGAGGGAUGAAGGUACAGAGUAUCGUAAACCUCUUUUGUCAGGGAACAAAGGCGGGGACGCGUCCCCGGAUGAGUGUACCUGAAGAAAAAGCAUCGGCUAACUCCGUGCCAGCAGCCGCGGUAAUACGGAGGAUGCGAGCGUUAUCCGGAUUUAUUGGGUUUAAAGGGUGCGCAGGCGGACUGUUAAGUCCGCGGUCAAAGCCCGGGGCUCAACCCCGUCCCGCC
RNAcentral lists this ribosomal RNA (294 nucleotides) under uncultured bacterium. Its description in RNAcentral is "partial 16S ribosomal RNA". It matches the Rfam family "Bacterial small subunit ribosomal RNA", at positions 333 to 624 of the family's 1533-position model. The record is from RNAcentral.